AGUCCUACUAUUCUUUUGUCAUCAUCUCCUGCAUUUGGAUCUGAAUGCACUGCUCAGCUUGUGAAGGGGUUGGUGUCUUGGAGUCAAGCACUACAUUAACAGACCAAAAUCUUCCUCAAAGGUUCCCUCAUUGUACUGAAGAGGGUAAACAUGUUGGAAGUCUCUUUUUCCCCUGCCAUUCCACCAUCUGCGAUCAGGACAAACUCCAAUGGGUUUGCUUUUUUGUUCACACAGGAUGUGUAUAAUCAACGUUGAUUGAGAGCCCUGAGCAGCAGUGUGUGGUGUUCGGUUGAUGGUGUGUAUGCAGUGG
This is a long non-coding RNA of Scatophagus argus, 310 nucleotides long. RefSeq lists it as uncharacterized. NCBI's taxonomy places the organism in Eukaryota, Metazoa, Chordata, Actinopteri, Scatophagidae. The transcript is spliced from 3 exons. The record is from RefSeq and is a predicted model, not a curated record.